UGAGGAAUUUUCCGCAAUGGACGCAAGUCUGACGGAGCAACGCCGCGUGCAGGAGGACGCUUUUCGGAGUGUAAACUGCUUUUCUCUGGGACGAGAGUGGACGGUACCAGAGGAAGAAGCCCCGGCUAACUACGUGCCAGCAGCCGCGGUAAUACGUAGGGGGCGAGCGUUGUCCGGAGUUACUGGGCGUAAAGGGCAUGCAGGCGGUCAGACGCGUUUUGUGUGACAGCGGGUGGCUUAACUACCCGAGCAUACGAAAGACGGUGUGACUUGAGGGCUCGAGAGGGACACGGAAUUCCGGGUGGAGUGGUGAAAUGCGUAGAGAUCCGGAGGAACACCGAAGGCGAAGGCAGUGUCCUGGCGAGUGACUGACGCUGAGGUGCGAAAGCCAGGGGAGCGAACGGGAUUAGAUACCCCCGUAGUCC
This 425-nucleotide ribosomal RNA is filed under the name uncultured bacterium. Its description in RNAcentral is "bacterial SSU rRNA". It matches the Rfam family "Bacterial small subunit ribosomal RNA", at positions 355 to 796 of the family's 1533-position model. The record is from RNAcentral.